Molecule: ribosomal RNA, 365 nt
Filed under: uncultured eukaryote
Lineage: Eukaryota
Description: partial 18S ribosomal RNA
Rfam family: Eukaryotic small subunit ribosomal RNA
Source: RNAcentral
CAAUAGCGUAUAUUUAAGUUGUUGCAGUUAAAGAGCUCGUAGUCGGAUUUUGGCUGAGAACGAACGGUCCGCCGUUAGGUGUGCACUGUUUGGUCUCAGCUUCCUGGUGAGGAGGUGUGCUUCACGGCCACUUAGUCACCGUGGUUACUUUGAAAAAAUUAGAGUGUUCAAAGCGGGCUUACGCUUGAAUAUAUUAGCAUGGAAUAACACCAUAGGACUCCUGUCCUAUUUCGUUGGUCUCGGGACGGGAGUAAUGAUUAAGAGGAACAGUUGGGGGCAUUCGUAUUUCAUUGUCAGAGGUGAAAUUCUUGGAUUUAUGAAAGACGAACUUCUGCGAAAGCAUUUGCCAAGGAUGUUUUCAUUGA